This is a long non-coding RNA of Phascolarctos cinereus (koala), 2654 nucleotides long. RefSeq lists it as uncharacterized. NCBI's taxonomy places the organism in Eukaryota, Metazoa, Chordata, Mammalia, Diprotodontia, Phascolarctidae. The record is from RefSeq and is a predicted model, not a curated record.
CUCUAGCUAUUUGAACAUUUUGGUUGGGAACACUGAUUGACCAAUAAAUCACCUUCCAUAUAACUGGGCUAUAAUAUUAAGUCACACCUUAAAUAGGAUGUUAAAUUUAAGAUAAAAAUGGUAAAGAAGAACAAAGGAAAGAAUAGAAAAGGAUUUAUAACUGGUAUCAUAAUCACACUGCAAAGGAAACUGAUGGCUGAAGUGGAUUGGCUGAACUAUUAUCAUGACUCCUGCUGAAUCAGUCCCUCAAAGCUGUACAACUACUGGGGAGACAAUUAUAAUACUUCACUGAAUACAAGGAAUAUAUGGAAGGGAUAGACUUGAGAUUUAGGAUAAAAUAAAACGUGAAGUUCCUGGGCUCCUAAGAAGAACAAGUCUGAAAACCUGUCUAAAGCAAACUGGUUAUACUGUGUAAGUGUGUAGCUCUUUAAAAUCGUCCAAUUACCAAGCCAUACAAAAGUGAAAUUAUAUGUGUUUAAUAAUUCCCAUUUACUUGGGAUGGAUAAACUAUGAAUGAAUAUAACAGGUCAGAACAUUUGUUUCAUCAUCAAAAACUACUUGCUAUGUUAUCAACCAUGGUGUUGCUAUUACCCAACACAGUGGUCACAUCAGAACGCCUGACUACGAGACUCCUGCAGUUCAGAAGAUUCUACUGGCCAAUCAAGGCAUGAUCCUUAUCUGCCAACUCCUCUGUGUACAGGAAGAAGAUGCAGAAAUUCCCUAUCUCUUGAAUUCCUGAGGAGAGUGACACAAUAGAAUUGCUUCAUGCUUGGACCUUAAAAAAUAUAUAUAUAUCUAGGUGGGCUGGGAUGGGACAAGACAGGAUAGGACAGGAGGUCUAGUUUAACUGUCAUGGUGCUAAAAGGUACAUCCAGUCCACACAGCUAUGGAGAUCCUAAAUACCUCUGCACUAAAAAGGGAAUCUAGAUUUGUUCUAAGAAGAAGAGACCUAUCUGGAGAAUGGAGUGGGUGGUUAGAGCAAAGUUGACAGGUAAAACCAAUGCCUCACUGCCAGGAUAACAUUUCCAGGACAAACAGGCUGCUGGUAAUGUAAAAAGAAUACUGUAUCCUAUUACUAGUUUUUUGUUUUCUUUUUGUUUUCUUUUUUUUUUUUUUUAAACAUACAGGUCCAACCAGCUAACUACAUCACCUAUUAUUUGAACAGGAUAAAACUAGAUGUUACUUAAUUUCAGGACUUCAAGAAACAAAUUGUAAAGAUAGGAAGUUCUUCAACUGAAGAGAGAAAUGACAUCUACAUAGCUGCUUGUUUCCACAGGGGCAGAGCGAAACACCUUUCCUCCUUAGUAGACAGUCUGUAGGAAUUUUGUGGUGGCCAAAAACCUUCAUUCCCUGAAAGCCCACAUUCUGGUGGCUAAAAUUUUCCAAACUUAGCUAGGUGGGCCCUUCUCCGGUUGGGUAUCUAAUCCAAUGCUGGGCCUGCACUUGAAGCCCUUCCAUUUUGGUAGGUCCUGCCAAAACUUGUGCUCUGAUGACAUAACCUUCAACAAUCUAGGGUUUUCUUCAUAAAAGGGCGAGGCAAAGGACACUGGAGCAUCUUAUACUUAAAUCUCCUAAUUUAAUGCCCAACUGCUAUCUCCCUAAAUAAUAAGAAACAGUCAAGUAAAUGAGAGGCACUGCAUGCUGUAAAAGUGAACAAAAAGAAAAAGAACACUAAAUUAGUUACUCCAACUAUCCAUCAGCAACCACUGAUAGAUCUCAAAAACGUUCCUACCAAAAAGAAUAACCUCUGUCUUCGCUGAACUUAAUACUAGCACGGCAAGAAGACCACCAGGGGAAAAUAAGUAGUUUUUUCCCCUUAAAUGCUAAAGAAAAGACAGAGCUCUUGACCAGUACAUCUCUUACCACAAAACCUUCGGUAAUGUUAGUGGAUAAAACUUGUUUCCCACUUACAAUAAUGUGAAAAUAGAACACUAUGGAAUUUUGUUUUGUUUUGUUUUUAAACUAGCCCUUCUAGGAGCGGAAUUGUCUUCAAUGAGAGAAAAGGGUGACUAAAGAGCCGGGAAGAUGGCACUAAGAAGUGUUUCUGAUGUUCCAUUUUAGCCACCCUUGUGUGUCUCUUCCAAAUAAAGAGCCGGAACAGAACAGGCACAUUCACAAUAGCAAAAGAUGCCAGCAUGCCACCUUCACCCUGCCAAAUCACCCCAAAAGUUCCAAAGUUGAAGGACUUUAGAAAAAACAAAAUAGUCCUUCUGUAACACUCUUCCAUUUAAUUCUAAUUGUUUUAUUAUUAUUCUCACUUAUUGACAAUAGUUAAAUUGUUUAGAAAUAAAGCUCACCUCCCAACCUAAACCCUAUUUACUUGCUCCAAGGGAAACAACUUAGCUUUUACAAACAGCUAUGCAAAUCUAUAAAUCAGGUUCAAGGAUCUUCAUGUUUUGGGCACUUAGCAAAUGCAAUUAAAUAGAUAAAAUAUUAUUUGGGGCAGUAGAAAUAAAGAAAAUCAAGAAACUUACUAGACUGUGAUAUAAUAAAUUGAACCAGGUUCCUUGAUCCAUUUCUUAAAAAAUGAAUUAUUUGGUACAUUAUGUAACUAAUUUUUUUUAUCUUGUGGGCCUUAAAAAUCAGAUUAACCUAUUCAGGAAGAAAAUGGGUAUACAUUUGCCUAAAUAAUCAAAAUAAAUCUAAAGCCACAA